RNAcentral lists this long non-coding RNA (1721 nucleotides) under Homo sapiens (human). RNAcentral's name for it is "HSALNT0284967". The record is from RNAcentral. Lineage: Eukaryota; Metazoa; Chordata; Mammalia; Primates; Hominidae.
GAAGACUUUUAAAAUAGAGACCAACGUGGCCGGGCAGGAAGAGCAGGGUCCCGCCUUCAGGUGUUUGGGACUCAGCUGAGGGUGUGGGUGCCCCGCGGUGGGGGCUGAACCUUCCUGGGGUGUGGAGAGACGAAAGGAGCCCAGAUCCAAGUUCCCUCGUUCCCGCUUUGGCAUAAGUUGCCCUGGCGGUCUCAUGAGAGAGAGAAAGAGCUGGGACCCUCCUCGCCCCAUGUAACAUCAGACAAGGGUGUUGACUCUGCAGCACAGAACCAGUAGUUUGUGGAGAAGAAUGGAGGUGUGGUGUUGAAUCUGCUAGACAGGCUACUGAAGCAAAAGUCAAGAGAUCCAGAUUCCAUCAUGGGGACACUUUAGCUGUUGUAAAAAGGAUUGAGUUCUUGAUUGAUUCCCAGCUUGGUCAUUGGUGUAUAGCAGUGCUACUGAUUUGUUUACAUUCAUUUUGUAACCUGAGACUUUACUGAAUUCGUGUAUCAGAUCUAGGAGCCUUUUGGUUCUUCAUCGGGUAAUUGAGCUGAUAUCAGGUGUCUGAAGGAGGCAAGUUUUGAAGAUGUGGGUCAUGAUGGCUGCUGAAGCUUCCACUCCAUAUUUGAAGGUCAGCAGUUCUCAGGAAACCUCUAGCACUUCCAUCCCUGGUGGGAUGUGAUGCCUGUCUCAGUGUAACAUCAGAGAAGGGGUGUACUCUGUGCCCUAGAACUAGGAGCUAACAGAGAAAAACCAAAUGUGAUGUGGAGUCUGCUAGACAGGCUACUGGAGCAAGAGUGAAGCGAUGAAAGUCUCAUCAUUGGGACAUAUUAGGGAGGCAGCAGGUGGCUGAAAUCCUGGUGUGAUGUGGCUGGAUCAUGCAUGAUCUGAGGACUCCUGCACAGGUGACUGCAGGAUGAGUACAGAAUUUUUCUAUAAAUAUACUAAAAUACCAAGUAAGCCAGGAGCAGCCACUAGGCAAACACCAAACCUUGCAUUCCUGGCCAAACCUAUCACAGAGCUCAUCAGGUAAGUUCAAAGACACACCUGUCUUCCCAGCAUUGGGAACUGGAUUGGGGUCUACUCAGAGGCAUGAUGUUGACCAGAUUUUAUGAAACACCCAAGAAUGUAGAGAACAUUCUGUCUUUAAAACCUUGAAUUCAAAACAUAUCAGAGAGAGAUUUACUUCCCUUAUAUGGAUGUCUGUGUUCUCAUUAGGAGAGAAACAAUGAAAAAUGACUUUUCACAAUGCCUGCCUUAGCCGUGAGGCUCAGCCAACCCCCACUUCUAUGUCUCAGCAUUUAAAGGGCAAUUGAAGUCCCACUCCAUGCUAUAUACUCUCAAGAGGUUUUCUCAUUUACCCUUCAGAACAGCUCUGUAAAGAUGGUAUGGUCAGUCCCAUUUCACAGAUGACUAAGCUCAGGCUCACAGAGCCUAAGUCACCCCUCCAGGUAAGUGGCAGGGUUGGAAUGAGGUUCUAUUCCUCACCCUCCCUAGAGAACCCUGAGCAGCUUCCGUUUUAGAAGAUGGGUUUCCAGGGCUUGAGAAAUGGUCAGAUUCCCCCCUGAUAUUGUGGCCCCACAGGUCCUCACUCCACAACCCCUCUGGGUGAUGAGGAAGACAGAAGAGGUGAAAUCCUGCGCUUUGUGCCAUGAGAUCUGGGUGUAGGGCCACAGGAGUUAGCUAAUCCUUGAAGUGGUGAGUGGGCUCAGGCAGAAGCUCAAGUGUUGGCCUUGGGACAG